AUGAACGCUGGCGGCGUGCCUAAUACCUGCAAGUCGCGCGAACAGACGAGGAGCUUGCUCCUCUGACGUUAGCGGCGGACGGGUGAGUAACACGUGGAUAACCUACCUAUAAGACUGGGAUAACUUCGGGAAACCGGAGCUAAUACCGGAUAAUAUAUUGAACCGCAUGGUUCAAUAGUGAAAGACGGUUUUGCUGUCACUUAUAGAUGGAUCCGCGCCGCAUUAGCUAGUUGGUAAGGUAACGGCUUACCAAGGCAACGAUGCGUAGCCGACCUGAGAGGGUGAUCGGCCACACUGGAACUGAGACACGGUCCAGACUCCUACGGGAGGCAGCAGUAGGGAAUCUUCCGCAAGGGGCGAAAGCCUGACGGAGCAACGCCGCGUGAGUGAUGAAGGUCUUCGGAUCGUAAAACUCUGUUAUUAGGGAAGAACAAAUGUGUAAGUAACUAUGCACGUCUUGACGGUACCUAAUCAGAAAGCCACGGCUAACUACGUG
This 496-nucleotide ribosomal RNA is filed under the name uncultured bacterium. RNAcentral's name for it is "partial 16S ribosomal RNA". It matches the Rfam family "Bacterial small subunit ribosomal RNA", at positions 29 to 507 of the family's 1533-position model. The record is from RNAcentral.